ACAGAGGCUGGCAGAGUAUCAGAGUGCACAGUACAUGUCUGGGGUAUGACAGAGCUCAGUUAUCAUAAUGGUGAUGAGUUGGCAGUUUGAAACUGUUGUCACGGUUAACAGAGAGGGGUGGAUUGAAGGAAAUGUGGAGACAGCAGCACACCGCCUAGGGCCUCAGUGUCAUGCCCAUCCAUUCAGGCCAAUCUCCUGGCUCCUGCUUAGAGAAACAGGCCAAUCUCCUGGCUCCUGCUUAGAGAAACAGGUUAGAGGAGGCUUGGUGGACACUGAGAAAUUUUGUCUCUAGUCCCUGGUGGUACUGGAUGCAGGGCAACCACCAUCCUCAUGACCACAUCUGAGAAGUCACCAAGCAGGUGAGUGGACACACUGUAUUUCACCUUUUCAUAUAAUUUUAAAGGAGACUGAGUCAUUGUAGCAGCCAAUGUGCCUUUGUCAGUGGUUUUCAUUUAGG
This 457-nucleotide long non-coding RNA is filed under the name Fukomys damarensis (Damara mole-rat). RNAcentral describes it as "lncRNA (ENSFDAG00000022259.1)". The record is from RNAcentral. Lineage: Eukaryota; Metazoa; Chordata; Mammalia; Rodentia; Bathyergidae.